Long non-coding RNA from Struthio camelus australis, 1912 nucleotides. RefSeq lists it as uncharacterized. Lineage: Eukaryota; Metazoa; Chordata; Aves; Struthioniformes; Struthionidae. The record is from RefSeq and is a predicted model, not a curated record.
UCUGCUACGUCCUCGCGGCGUCCGGGCGAACGCGGCCACCGAGGCGGCGCGCAGAGGGCCAGCGCGGGGCCGAGAGGAAAGGGGAAGAAAGGCGCGGCGGAGUUUCUUACCCGGGCAGAGUCCGCCAACGUCGCCAAGCAGAAGCCCACUGUCUACAGCAGGGGCUGAUCUUCUCAACAUGAAGGAAAAGAGGAGAAAAGUACAUCUGCCUUUCAAGGAACUGAGAAUGCUGUUUAGCUGCAGAAAAAGAGGAGGCAGAGAUCAGAUCGGAUCAGAUCCGGUGAAACGUUUGUCGGGAUGAAGAGGAUGCCAAUAUUCCAGAGCGGAAGAGGACAACGGACAGUAGGGUCUGGAAGAGGAAAAUGAUUAAAUGUAAGAAGCCACCUCCCUCCCCCUUAUGAGAAGCAAAAUGCCUCACACUGAAGACUACAGAUGUUCCCCUCUCGGUUACCAGCAGCCUUCCUAUCGCAAUCCUGAGUGAUGGUGGUCUUGGGAAGCUUAGGAUCCUACUGGUGACAGAGCAGAAGCCUGAAAAUGCAUAUCACAGGACUCAGAAGAUAGAAAACAAGUAUAAAUUACCUUGGAUCUAAUCAUCUUUUCAAAAUGAUUUUUUCAGCCAAUCUCAUGAGAUUUUUGGAGAAGGAAGAACGAUUUGGAUUUUUUUUUACCCCUGAAUAUAUGAACAUGCCACCCUUGUGUCCAUCUUAAAUCUACAAAGUUAUUAACCCUUACAUGCCAUUUGGAUAGUGGCCUUCUAGUCACCCUCACAGAACUGGAUUCUCACAACAACUUCUUCUGGUUACAGCUGUAUGCGGCCGGACCCUCUUUGCAAGCUGCACAGAAAGCCUCACCCAAGAGUUUACCACAAUCUUUCUGUAAAGCAUUGCACCAAAUUCCAGGACUCCUAGAGACCGACCUCACACACUCAGGGGUCUCCUUCUGUUUAACUUUAGCUUAUCAUCCUUGUAUUAACUUGAAUAAGUGUUAAAACUGCACUCCAGGUUGCUCUUAAAAAAAAAAAAAAAAAAAAAAAAAGAAAAAAAAAAGCACGGGAUAUGGCAAAUGAAUGCAGGAAAUGUCUAUUCUGCUAUUAAUACUAAUGAAUCCUUAAUGCAUUUGAAACCCACUUGAGGUAAGUCAGUUGAGUCCUUCUCCUGACGGCUAUUCCUCAUCAAACUACCAGUGUUAAAGAUGCUGAUGCUUUCCCUUUUGCUUGUAAUCUUUAAACAAGGUUUAAAUCACACCAGAGGCUACCACAAAAUAACGUGUUUUAUCCUAAGUGAAGGCAAAGCCCUGCAGACAGAGGUUUAAAACACUGCAUACGUCCGCUCAAUUUAUCAUUUUAAGAUAGGAAGCUGCUGCCACAAACAAAACACCUCCUUGAAAGUGGGACAGCAGCAGAUUGCGGUGCAGAAAGCUUGGGGAUCUUUUGUUUUCCUGGAGAGCGACAACAGGGCUUUGCAAAGAAAGACAGCAGCCUCCCCUUGCUGAAAUCUAAAUCAGCUCCUAUAUGAAAGCCUGCCAACUGCUAGCUGGAUCGUAACAAAAUAUUGCAGAUAAUUCACUUUUCAUGAUAAAGCAAAAACAAGCAGGCAUGCAGCACCCAGCAGGGGCUCAACUGAUAAAACGGUGUCAAACUCAAACCAUUUGUCAAUUGGGAGGGGAGAGAGCAAGCUGAAAGAUGGACUCAGGAAGUAGAUUUAUCUAGUGCGACACAUUAACUAGUAUAAAUACUAAGGAAAAAGUAAACACAUUUACCCAGCAGUAUCUCCAGCCAGCAAAGAAAAGCCUUCUGAGUCCCAGACCCACGCUAGCCAUCCAACCACUCAGCUGUCAGCUGCGACAGCAGUAGCAUUUUUCUUCCUGGGCAGUAUUGCCAUGCCAUUUCAUUCACGGCUCUAAAAGGUUCUAU